This 497-nucleotide ribosomal RNA is filed under the name uncultured bacterium. RNAcentral's name for it is "partial 16S ribosomal RNA". It matches the Rfam family "Bacterial small subunit ribosomal RNA", at positions 28 to 507 of the family's 1533-position model. The record is from RNAcentral.
GAUGAACGCUGGCGGCGUGCCUAAUACAUGCAAGUCGAGCGAACGGAUGAGGAGCUUGCUCCUCUGACGUUAGCGGCGGACGGGUGAGUAACACGUGGAUAACCUACCUAUAAGACUGGGAUAACUUCGGGAAACCGGAGCUAAUACCGGAUAAUAUAUUGAACCGCAUGGUUCAAUAGUGAAAGUCGGUUUUGCUGUCACUUAUAGAUGGAUCCGCGCCGCAUUAGCUAGUUGGUAAGGUAACGGCUUACCAAGGCAACGAUGCGUAGCCGACCUGAGAGGGUGAUCGGCCACACUGGAACUGAGACACGGUCCAGACUCCUACGGGAGGCAGCAGUAGGGAAUCUUCCGCAAUGGGCGAAAGCCUGACGGAGCAACGCCGCGUGAGUGAUGAAGGUCUUCGGAUCGUAAAACUCUGUUAUUAGGGAAGAACAAAUGUGUAAGUAACUAUGCACGUCUUGACGGUACCUAAUCAGAAAGCCACGGCUAACUACGUG